RNAcentral lists this small RNA (550 nucleotides) under Pongo abelii (Sumatran orangutan). RNAcentral describes it as "processed transcript". Lineage: Eukaryota; Metazoa; Chordata; Mammalia; Primates; Hominidae. The record is from RNAcentral.
AUCACAGCAGUGCGGACGUCGUGGGUGUUUGGUGUGAGGCUGCGUGCCGCCGCGAGUUCUCACGGUCCCGCCGGCGCCACCACCGCGGUCACUCACCGCCGCCGCCACCACUGCCACCACGGUCGCCUGCCACAGACGGAGCCUCACUCUAUUGCCCAGGCUGGAGUGCAGUGGCACAAUCUCAGCUCACUGCAACCGCUGCCUCCCAGGUUCAAGCCAUUCUCCUGCCUCAGCCUCCCGAGUAGCUGGGAUUACAGGCGCCCACCACCACGCCCAGGUAAUUUUUGUAUUUUUAGUAGAGACGGGGUUUCACCAUGUUGGCCAGGCUGGUUUCAAACUCCUGACCUCAAAUGAUCCGCCCGCCUCGGCCUCCCGAAGUGCUAAGAUUACAGGUGUGAGCCACUGUGCCUGGCCUUCAGGAUGAUUUUAUUCUAAACCCCUAGAAAGCAGAGAGUAGGAUCAAAACCUUUAGGUUUGGAAGGCUUUUUACAGAUUUCAUUGUCUAACUAGCUGCUUUGCUUGGUUUUGAUGGUCUUCUGUGUCUAACCCA